Molecule: unclassified non-coding RNA, 338 nt
Filed under: soil metagenome
Description: partial contains 5.8S ribosomal RNA, internal transcribed spacer 2, and large subunit ribosomal RNA
Rfam family: 5.8S ribosomal RNA (bases 1-120)
Source: RNAcentral
GAUGAAGAACGUAGCGAAAUGCGAUACGUAGUGUGAAUUGCAGAAUUCAGUGAAUCAUCGAAUCUUUGAACGCACAUUGCACCUCUCGGUAUUCCGGGAGGUAUGCCUGUUCGAGCGUCAUUUGUACCCUCAAGCUCUGCUUGGUGUUGGGUGUUUGUUCCGCCUCUGUGUGUGAACUCGCCUCAAAACAAUUGGCAGCCGGCGUACUUGUUUCGGAGCGCAGCACAUUUUGCGAUCCAGAUCAACGUACAGCGGCAUCCAAGAAGCCUUAUUUAACGCUCUUGACCUCGGAUCAGGUAGGGAUACCCGCUGAACUUAAGCAUAUCAUAAGCGGAGGA